Molecule: unclassified non-coding RNA, 580 nt
Filed under: Hevea brasiliensis (rubber tree)
Lineage: Eukaryota; Viridiplantae; Streptophyta; Magnoliopsida; Malpighiales; Euphorbiaceae
Source: RNAcentral
AUUAGAUCGGGUCAUGGCAAUUCACUUCCCAGAGGUAAUACUUAUGGACAUCUUUAGCAGGUUACCUGUGAAGUCUCUACUUCGUUUCAAAUGUGUGUCAAAAUUUUGGGAAACGUUGAUCUCCGAUCCAUACUUUAAGAUGAAGCAUCUAAAUCGUGCCAAGAAUGAUCAAGAUUCUCAAAAACUUCUUACUAGCCUAAGUUGCCGUAAUAAUGGUAUAUGUUCCAUGUAUUGUUGUCCUUUGUCGCCUGUUCAGCUGGUUGAGGAUGUACAAAAACUCGAUUUCCCUUCAAACCCUACACCAUUCCCAUGCACAAUCCAUUGUUGUUAUGAUGGAUUGGCUGUUAUGGAGGUUCCUGGUAAUUUGAAUGAAGACACCACAUUUUUGCUGUGGAACCCCUCCACAAGAGAAUCAAUUGAACUUCCUUCUCCAGAAUUUCGACUGAACAAAAGUUCUUGUUUUGGUUUGGGUUAUGACUCAACCAGUGGCAAGUAUAAGAUUGUUCAGAUUUUUCAGCAUAUGGAUUUACCUUGUGAAAUUUUUGUACUGAAAGGUGGCUCUUGGAAAAGAAGUGUUAAG